UUCACCAAAUUAAUAUUUUUUUAGUUUAAUUUAAAAUUCAUAUCAGGUAAGCUUCAAAUAAUUGGUUUUCCAUGUUAACCUGCUUAGCUAGGCCGAGCUAAUAAAGUAUGCCUGCAAUAACAGCAGAAUAGCAGCCCAUGUUAACCUCGCUAGUAGAUUUUUCACCUCCGGCUAGUAGCCUCCUAGGUCUUGGCUAAAGAUAAAAUGAAAACUACUGAUGAUCGAAUAGAAAUCUUGAGAUUGAACAGCUAGUAGCCAUUUAUUUACUGCCUAAUUGUUUCUCAGUCUGCCUAGGGGUGCUAUCAAAAGGUUGUGUGGCAUGAUAACUUGUACUUUGGGAUGCUUAUGUGGUUUGGUGAAUUGACAAGCAAAAGACAAAAGCCUUGGUGGUUAUGCUACUUUGCAGCUGGUUUGGGCAUUCUGCCUCUCAUGCCUAGAGUCUGGACUCACCAUUGCUAGAAUCCUUUCCUACAACUGCAGUCACGAGGAAGUCAUCUUCAUGAGCACAGGUUGAGAAAUGUAAGGUUGGUAAGAGGAGCAAAGCUCUCGAUUGGGAAUUCUCCGGUAAGGCCAUUAAGGCUCAAAUCAAGAGCCUGGAUUUGGUCACAACAUAUAACUUCUUUAGGAAAACUACCCUUUAAAGAAAUGUUUGACAAAUCAAUGGAAAGAAUGGUUAAAGGGCAGUAUUUCCAAAAGAAACUGUAUGACAAGUAGAGUGGUGCCAUCUUCGGCCUGUUUCGCAGGUCUAUGUUGUCGAAAGAAUGGACACAAUUUGGAUUCUUUGACUCAUUGCAAAGAUGGCUUGCAACAAUGGUGAACUUGAAGAUUUCUUUCAGGUCCAUAGAAGAGGAGUUACAGUAUCUGAGAGAAGGAUUGUGUUGACAGUUUUUCAUGAUUGUGGUGUUGAAAUCUGACGGGGGUUGCAAGUUUGCAAGGUCCUCUACUACUGAUCCUGAGAUUGCUGAAGAAACUGUGAGUGAUAAUGUUGUGAACAGAAGAAGGAGAAAACGUGGAGAAGCCAUGAAAGAAGUUGAGAGAAGUCUCUGAAAGUCAGAUAGAUAUCCAAAUUUUCAAGCGGUUUGCAUGCAUUUGCAAUGUGGAAGUUUUGGAAGGUUUAUUAUUUGAAUUUGUAGUGCCAAAUUUGGUGGUUA
This is a long non-coding RNA of Populus trichocarpa (black cottonwood), 1151 nucleotides long. RefSeq lists it as uncharacterized. NCBI's taxonomy places the organism in Eukaryota, Viridiplantae, Streptophyta, Magnoliopsida, Malpighiales, Salicaceae. The transcript is spliced from 2 exons. The record is from RefSeq and is a predicted model, not a curated record.